GUUUCGCUUUUUUUUUUUGUUUUUGUUGUUUUCAAUUGUUCGCCAUUCAAUGAGACUGAAAGUGAUAAUGGGCAGCCAACAAUAGCAACAACAGCAAACAACGAGUCAACAGUCAACAUAACAUAAUUAAAGCUGCAACAACAAUAGUAACAAGAAGAGUGCGCGACAUUACCAUUUAAUUGCAAGCAUUUAGUCAGCAUUUAACUUUGCAUAAAACUUACUCACACACACACACACACAUGCUCAUAGACAAAAGCUCUCUGCUCUUUCGAUCCCACGCUUAACAUUAACAUUGCCAUAACAGCAGCAUUAACAGCAAUCGCGGCUCAACAGCAGCUUCCAUUUUAGUCUGUGAUUUGCCCUUUUUGCAAUGCAAGCAAAAAAAGAGAGAAGAAAAAAAGAAAAUCAAAGCGAAAGAAAUGCACUUUCGAUUUCCAGUUGUUAACAUUAUCGAGAUGUCUGCGGGAAUAAUAAAAUCCAACUAAUUGUGAUAAUUAAACGUGCGUUACAACUAUUAUGUGUUAUUGUUAAUGGAUUUAAUAAGCUUCGAAUUGCGGCGUCUGACAUGUCAAGGUCUCUGGAUCCGACAUCUCUACUCGACUGUCGAGACGCAAACAAAGUUAAAUGAAACAUAGUAAAGAGCGAAAUGAUUAUAUGAAUGCGGAUUUCAACAAACAAAUUUAAUAAGGAACAAGUGAGUUAAGGUGCAAGUGAAAAAUGGGAUCAUUAAUAAAUUUAAAAGGAAUUGAAGUGAGUGGAAGUGAAAUAUCAUAAGAAUAAAGUGAAUAAGAAGAAGGAUUAAGUUAGUAAAAAUAUAUGUGACAGUGCAGUGUAUAGAAAGAAGUGUUAUUAUUAUUGAGAAAUGUAAUAAAAAUAAUGUGAGUGAAAGUGCAUGUGAAAUGUAUAAAAGUGGCAUUAUUAACAAAUUCAAUAAUAAAGUGAAAGAAAGUGCAAGUGAAAUGUGUUUAUAUAUAAGUGUUCUUAUUAUUAUUAAAUGUAAUAAGGAUAAAGUGAGUGAAAGUGAAUUUGUGAUAAUUGUGGCUAAAAUAUAAAACAACGCAAUCAGAAGGCAGUUG
Drosophila albomicans is the source of this 1076-nucleotide long non-coding RNA. RefSeq lists it as uncharacterized. The transcript has 3 exons. The record is from RefSeq and is a predicted model, not a curated record. NCBI's taxonomy places the organism in Eukaryota, Metazoa, Arthropoda, Insecta, Diptera, Drosophilidae.